Molecule: ribosomal RNA, 574 nt
Filed under: uncultured rumen bacterium
Lineage: Bacteria
Description: bacterial SSU rRNA
Rfam family: Bacterial small subunit ribosomal RNA
Source: RNAcentral
GGCAGCAGCUAAGAAUAUUCCGCAAUGGACGAAAGUCUGACGGAGCGACGCCGCGUGGAUGAUGAAGGCCGGAAGGUUGUAAAAUCCUUUUAUGACUGAGGAAUAAGCAGGGUGAGAGAAACGCCCUGUGGUGACUGUAGGUCAUGAAUAAGCAACGGCUAAUUAGUGCCAGCAGCCGCGGUAACACGUAAGUUGCGAGCGUUGUUCGGAAUUAUUGGGCGUAAAGGGCAUGUAGGCGGUUCUGCAAGUCUGGUGUGAAAUACCGGGGCUCAACCCCGGAACUGCGUUGGAAACUGCAGGACUUGAAUCGCUGAGGGGCAGCCAGAAUUCCAGGUGUAGGGGUGAAAUCUGUAGAUAUCUGGAAGAAUACCAAUGGCGAAGGCAGGCUGCCAGCAGAUGAUUGACGCUGAGGUGCGAAGGUGCGGGGAGCAAACAGGAUUAGAUACCCUGGUAGUCCGCACAGUCAACUAUGUACACUAGGUGUCCGGUCAUGAGACUGGGUGCCGAAGCAAACGCGAUAAGUGUACCGCCUGGGGAGUAUGCCCGCAAGGGUGAAACUCAAAGGAAUUGACGG